This 495-nucleotide ribosomal RNA is filed under the name uncultured bacterium. RNAcentral's name for it is "partial 16S ribosomal RNA". It matches the Rfam family "Bacterial small subunit ribosomal RNA", at positions 28 to 505 of the family's 1533-position model. The record is from RNAcentral.
GAUGAACGCUGGCGGCGUGCCUAAUACAUGCAAGUCGAGCGAACGGACGAGAAGCUUGCUUCUCUGAUGUUAGCGGCGGACGGGUGGGUAACACGUGGAUAACCUACCUAUAAGACUGGGAUAACUUCGGGAAACCGGAGCUAAUACCGGAUAAUAUUUUGAACCGCAUGGUUCAAAAGUGAAAGACGGUCUUGCUGUCACUUAUAGAUGGAUCCGCGCUGCAUUAGCUAGUUGGUAAGGUAACGGCUUACCAAGGCAACGAUGCAUAGCCGACCUGAGAGGGUAGUCGGCACAACGGGAACGGAGACACGGUCCAGACCCCUAGGGGAGGCAGCAGUAGGAAAUCCUCCGCAAUGGGCGAAACCCUGACGGAGCAACGCCGGGGGGGUGAUGAAGGUCUUGGGAUCGUAAAACUCUGUUUUUAGGGAAAAACAUAUUUGUAAGUAACUGUGCACAUCUUGACGGUACUAUAUCAGAAAGCCACGGCUAACUAAG